RNA transcript from Myiozetetes cayanensis, 6036 nucleotides. It is a transcript of the gene named glutamate rich 1, with no coding region annotated. The transcript has 7 exons. The record is from RefSeq and is a predicted model, not a curated record. NCBI's taxonomy places the organism in Eukaryota, Metazoa, Chordata, Aves, Passeriformes, Tyrannidae.
GUCUCGGCGGGGCCGCGGGGCCAUGGCCGAGAGCAGGAGGGAAGUGUUCUUGGCAAAAUUACUGAAACGACUCUAUGGUGAAACUUCAUCAUCUUCUCCUGUGCAUACUUCAAAUAGAGAAGAGGAGGCGGUUCUUGGAAAUCUGGGAUCAAAAUCCAAAGAAAAGAAUUUGAGUAAUGUUCAGACUUCAUCAGCAGAUGCUAGCACAUCAACUGAUAUACCCUGCAAAUCAUUUCAAGGUAGUGAUGAUGCAGUUGUGUUUCCAAGAAGAGUUUACAAAGUGGAUCUGCCUCCAGAGGGUUAUGUUGCAGCUACUCCAGAUGCUAUUAGUAGUGCAGUUUCAGAAAACUCAGGCAGUAGUGCUGACUCAACAGAAGAGGAAUAUCAAGGGCAAACCAAGAGAAAGUGCGUUCGAAGGAAGAAACAAAAGAGCAGUUUGCAAAUCUCUAAUAAUUUACAUGGAGAACAAACAGAUUGUGGAAUGCAAGAGACUCUUGUUCAAGAUAAUUUACAGCUGCAGCAGACAGACAGUCCCAAAAUAAGCAGAAACAAAAAGAGGAAAAUGAAAAAGAAGCGACAGAAAGAAAAAAAGAGAGCAGCUGGCUUGGUAACAAAAACUACCAGUGUGGAUUUUACAUAUCAACCUGACAAAAACAACAGAGAAGAAGCAGCAGGCUUAAAAGACAUAGAUGAAAAGGCAGAUAGCAUUCUGGACUUCCUGCAGGCAACACAACAAAUUUAUUUUGCUGACAAGAAAUCAGAAUGCACAGAUACUGCUGUAAAUUCAGCAACUGCCCAAGAGCUCUUACAAUUUCUUGAAUCUCGCACCAUCUCUUCCUCAGAUGUGACUCAUCUACAUCGAUUGAAAUCCCUUGUAUUGCUACAGGAUAUUGAGAGAUUGAAGGAUGCUUUGAAACAAUUCCAAGAACAAUCCACGAUGCUUCCUGAUCAUACUAAGGUAGCCACGUCUCUGUUUCAUUACUGGAUUACAGAUAUCCUUCCCGUGAAGAACAGGAAAUAAAGCCUUACCUGCAUCUGUAUGCACAGGGUUACAGUUUAAUAUACAAACUCAUAACCAAAGUAGCAAUUGUUCAGGAAGAGCAGUAUCAAUACACACUCUACAGCUUCAGGGCUCCUUCAACAUAGCAAUGAAACAUGGAUCCUUUUGGAUUUUCAUGCUAAGCUUAUAAAUGGCAAAGGAGAUUGCCUUGAAUUUUUUUCUACUUCAGCAUCAUUUGGUUUAAUGGAUGUACAGCAACAUGGAAUUUCUGAGGCAUGGAAGAGCUUUUUAAAUGGACUUUGCAUCAGAAAACUUCAGACUAUUUAAAACUUCUGGGAAGACAGAACUUCAAAAUUUUGUUUUGAAAACCUACAUAGACUCCAAGAACAGGAAGAAUUUAAGGAUCAACUGGAAAGUAACCUGCAUGUGUCAAGAGUAAACUUUGUAGUUUGCAUAAUUGAGCACUGCACAGUAAGUAAGGAGCAGCAGCACAGUGAGAGAGAAAUCGUGCUCUGAAUAGGUGGUGGUCCCUUACCAGAGUGUACAAGGAAGGCCAUAGAGGCUGAAGUAAUUUGUGGUAGUGAAUAGCUGGUCACUACACUUGUAUGCAAGGCUAUGAGUUCAAAGCCAUUAUCUCUAUAUAUAGGUACAUGUUUUAUUCUUAAAAUUGCCUGUAAGACCUUAAUUUUUCUCUUUUGUGGAUAUGUAAUGUGGGAAUCAGUCUCUAAUGUUACAGAUUUUUUACUGCUUUGUAAGUGGUGCAAUAUUUUAUAUAGUGCUUUACAAUCACGUAGAGUUAAAUUCCUUAAUAUGUUUUCUAUGACAGCUGAGUUUUCUCUCCUGCACCACUGCUCAAUAGGCUGAAUCUCUGAAAUGACAUCUGGGGAAAAAAAUAAAAGAAAAAAACCAGACAAGGAAGGAAAAAAAGUGGUGAAUGGCAGCAUAAAAGCAAAAGAUUUUAAGCUGUCUUUGACCAAAGAAAACAGAUGUUGUCCAGUAAUACCAGGUAUAUCAUAAAACCAGUCCACAGAUGAAGAGUGAAAAGUGGUGUGUGUUAUACAGUAUGCUACACAUUAAGAAUAAUAACAAAGAGUGGUAGUGAAAACGACAGCAAACUGCAUGAUUGGGAAAAUGUAUUACAUUUAAUAUUUAGGCAAACCUCAGGUUAUAGCUAUGCAGGCUUCAUAAUUAAUUGCUUCAGCCCUAGAUUGCACCCAAGGAGGGCUGCAUUGCACGUGUUUAUGCAGCUAAUUAAGCUUCACUGUUUACUACUCUAUCCUCUGCAUUGCAUAUAAGUAAACUUCUAUUUAUUGUUUUCAGCUGUUAGAUAUAUGCUGAACUAAGGGGACAGGAGCACAUACAUAUUAAAAAAAACCAGAAGUUUACAGAUGCUGUAUUUUUUUCCCUGUAAGGAUAUAGGAAAAAGCUAUAUAUUCUGUGAUUAGCUAUAUAUUCUGUGAUUGUUUGAAAACACUGCAUAUGCACCACAGUCACUGAAGGUCAAAUAUAUAGCUUUAAUAAGGAUGUUCUUCAAGUUGAAUGCUUACUUUGUAGAAUUAAUAGUCUGUAGUCAUUUUAAUGAACUGCAUACUCUUGUAAAAUGUAUAAGCAAACUGUAGUUCUCUUUUACAUUAUUACUGUAAAAUUACAUCCUGGUUUAGGAUUUAUAAUGAAAAAAAAGUGUUAUCUAAGAUUGAAGAGAACUGCACAAAGAGAAGCAACAAAGCUGUGGUUCAAUACCUACUUUUCUUUUGCAUCAACUCUAGGGUGCUAUAGGUUGCAUAAAGGUAGAGGCUGCUUCUCUUCCCUUUCAAGAUCUUUGCCAGUCUUCUCAGUCCCUCAUUCAGCACACAGAUGAUUCCUCCAACCCUGUCAGCCUCUGGUAUUAGCUUCCCUCACGCAUUUUCUUUAUCUUCAGGUUUACACAUUUGUGCUUUUUCCCCACAGCUCUCUACAGAACAGUCUUUCUGCUGUCUUCCUUUCCUUCUUUGAAGCUCUUCUUUAUUGUGAUGCUGCCCAAAAGCUUGGCCAGUAUGCUAGGACCACUGCCUACUGUGCUGACUAAUGUUGCCUUAUUGUCUGUGUACUCCCACAUCAAUCUGCCUGUUUUCUCCCUGUUUUCUCCUUUCCUAAGCAAGUAUAAGUUUCAUGCAGGAUUUGCCCUGCUGCACAGCACCCAGCACAACAAGUUCCUGUUACAUCUGAGGUGACAGUCUGCUGGGGAAAUGGAGUAGACUUAACUACAAUUGAGACCAUGCUUGAAAAUGUAGGAAAGACUGCUGAUAGUUUAAAAUAGCUUCAUAAUCUUACACUGUACACAUGAUCAGUCUGGUAAAACAGGGACUUGAUUCUCCCUGGCCGUCACUUUGGAACCAGUGCUCUUCUGCAGGUUGCUAAGGAGAGCUUGGAGGCAUGCAGGGUGGAAUUCAUUUUUCCUUGAUUUCAGAUGUCUAUAGUGUUAAUGUUUCCAUCUGAGCUGCCUAUCCUAAAGAACUUUCUGAUCACUGGGAUUAAAUAGAUACUCGUAUAGGGCAAUAUAACUGAUUGCUGCUGGACAUCUGUUUUAGAAUAGGAAUAAGGGUACCAAUGGAAGCGCUUAGAUCUUCAUGUUGACUGUUUUGGGGGCAUAAACACAUAAGUCAGAUGGAAACAUCUGCAUUGCAGGCAUCUGGAUCCUGUUAAAAAAAAAGUUGAUUUGCUUCAUCUGAGAAAAGGACAGGAAUGUGCAUGUUGCAUGACCAAAACAUCGCCUGCUCUUGUUUCUGGUCUGGCAAUGACAAGCUCCUUCAGCUUGAACAGGGCUGUGACGCCCUCUUCUUGUUGCUUUCCUGUCUCCUCUUGGGAAGCGACUACCUGAAGAGUGAUAAAAGGGAGAAAAAGAAGAGUAUGGAGGUGUUGUGCAUCUGUGGCUGGAACUCACAUAAAACAAACUGAGGGGAUGCUUCUUCUCUUCCUCAUCUUCCCUUCAUGUGAUCAUGCACAAAGCAGCCUCCACCACUUCUCAGGUAGACUCAGUAAAAGCUUGCUGUGUGAUUUAUUCCUCCUCCCAAUGACAAUAAUCAAGUGGAAGUGAAUAUAAAUGCACAAAGAAGGAGUAACCAUUGCUAGGAAUAUCAAACUGAUCAGCUAUUACCUGUGUUCUAGAGAGGGAAUCAAUAGCAAAUAUAUUUCUUUUCAGAGUCACAGGACUAAUCACUAAACCCUGUAGACACAAUGAUGGCUGUGUGAUCUCUGUCUGUCAUGAGGGAACUUAAAAUGAAGGUCAUGUUCCAAUCUGAUUGGAAUUCAGGGAAAGCAGCUUGGCUUAUGACUGUAGUGCUGGAUUCCAUUUACAUUGGUAAACAGUUUAAAAUACCUGACAUGUUAUUCAAUUAAAUGUGUGAUGCAAACUGACAGACCAAAGUCCAUUGAUUUUCUCCAACCACAUUAAGCUAAGUACAUGGCACAGUGUUUCAUUAGCCUGUCUGCUUAACCCUUUCACCUUAAUUCAAUUAUCCAGAAUAAAAUUAAUGUGUAAAAUAUUAAAUAACUCUAAAUUUCUAAAUUAGAAGACAUUGCAAGAAUAUAUUCAUCUCAAUAGUUUCUUGCACAUAUUUAUUACUUUAUGAUUUACAGUCUGCUACAGAGCACAUUGUUAUCCAGAUGGCAAAAGUCAGUCAGUUUUUCUUUAUACUCAUUCAAUAGAUUGAUAGAUUCAUAAAGGGUAAAACUGAAAAGGACAUGAGAUUAUCUUUUCUGACCCCAUCUAGAUCCCUGGUCAUAAGUUUUCCCUUUACUUUAAUCUGACAGAAGCACAGUUUGUGGUUUUUGCUAAAGCAAGUUAUCUGCAGAGACAGGCGAGCUUGAUUUAAAGAUAUCAAGAAAUGAAGACUUAGCCCCUUCUCUGGUCAUUUAUUCCAAUAUUCAGUCACUUUCACACUUAAAAUCAUGUGCCUUAUUUUAAAUUUGAAUUUGUCUAGAUUUAACUUUCAGACAUUAGUUCUUCAUAUGCUUUUCUUCACUAGAUUAAGUAGUCCCUUGCUACCCACUGUUCUCUGUCUGCAAAAGUUUUUGAACACUGUAAUCAAGCUACAGGGCAACCUUUUUGCUACCCUAAUAUUAUCCCUUUAAAUUAUUUUAUUUAAGGUAUUUCCUACAGCCCUCAUCUUGGUUUUAUGGCUCUCUCAUACAUUUUCUCCAUUUUGUCCCACCAUUUAGAAAACAAGUGUACAAGACCUGAGCACAGAACUUCAUUUAAAAUCUCAUCAGUGCCAUCUUUUGCACUCAAUGUUUCAUUAGGUUUGGAUCAACUUCUUGCCAUAGUAUUGUACAGGAAGUCCAUGUUGAAUUAUUUUUCAUGGUAGACAAGUACACUUGAAAUUUAUUGCUUUCCAGUAUUUAGUCCUUGGUUCUAUACUUUGUGUUCAUAAAUAUCUGUCUUUCUGUUUGGCUGUAUUAACUUUAAUUUUUUUUUACUAUGUAUAGAUUAAUAAAUGAUGGAUUGUUUUGUGUGCAUGUACUACUUGCAUUAGUAUUGACUGUCUGUUAAUCUCGGUGACAUCUGCAAAUUUUACCGACAGUGAUUCCAUGUUUGCUUCCAGAUUGUCAGUAAAAAUGCUGAAUGGUGUCAAGCUCUAGUACUAAUCUUUAUGGGAUUAAAAGAGGAAUAAUAUUACUCAGUCAUGAUUCCCUGUUUGUACCUUCUUUUUGAAAACAGAAAGCUGAGAUCAUCUAGUGGAUUUCUAAUUUAUUUAAGGUGUAUUUGUUGCAUUAUAUGCUCUUUUUGUUUUGAUCAGAAAGUCACGUGACACUAAGGGUAAUGGUUGUCAACAAGUAUUUCUUCAGUUUUCUACAAGAACAAGCUUUAAUACUUUUUAGAUAAGAGUAAGAUUCCAAACUAAAGACACUAUAAAAAAACUGUAAAAUUGUGUUUUAAAGUGUGUUUAAGGGGAAGCAGAACAAUUGAAAUGCAUUUAAAGUAAAUAGCCUGUAUUCAAAGUAAAUAGCCUCUCAAAUUUCUCUUACAUGUUUUCAAUUUGUUGCUCUGUGGGGGAUUA